This 447-nucleotide ribosomal RNA is filed under the name Trypethelium eluteriae. RNAcentral's name for it is "mitochondrial SSU rRNA". It matches the Rfam family "Bacterial small subunit ribosomal RNA", at positions 414 to 820 of the family's 1533-position model. Lineage: Eukaryota; Fungi; Ascomycota; Dothideomycetes; Trypetheliales; Trypetheliaceae. The record is from RNAcentral.
UUUGUGGGAAUGCCUUUUUAUUUUAAUAAAAAGAGUAUAUUAGGUUUAACUUUAUAUAUUAUUUUUAUUAAAUUAAGAAUUCAAUACCUUUGAAUGUAAUUCUAGAUAAAAUAUUGAUAAUGACAAAGUUUUAUCUAUAUGUCUUGACCAAAUCUUGUGCCAGCAGUCGCGGCAACACAAGGAAGACAAGUGUUAUUCAUCUUAAAUCGGUUUAAAGGGUACCUAGACGGUGAAUUAGGCCUUAAAUGGAACGUUUUUACUAGAGUUAUAUAUGCAUGAGGACUGUGUGAGUAUUACCAGAGUAGAGAUGUAAUUUUUUGAUACUGUUAAGACUGGUAAAGGCAAAAGCAAACCUUUAUAUAUUAACUGACGUUGAGGGACGAAGGCUUGGGGCGCAAACAGGAUUAGAUACCCCAGUAGUCCAGGCAGAGAAUUAUGAAUGUCAUA